Molecule: ribosomal RNA, 493 nt
Filed under: uncultured bacterium
Lineage: Bacteria
Description: partial 16S ribosomal RNA
Rfam family: Bacterial small subunit ribosomal RNA
Source: RNAcentral
CGAACGCUGGCGGCGUGCCUAAUACAUGCAAGUAGAACGCUGAAGGAGGAGCUUGCUCUUCUGGAUGAGUUGCGAACGGGUGAGUAACGCGUAGGUAACCUGCCUGGUAGCGGGGGAUAACUAUUGGAAACGAUAGCUAAUACCGCAUAAGAGUAGAUGUUGCAUGACAUUUGCUUAAAAGGUGCAAUUGCAUCACUACCAGAUGGACCUGCGUUGUAUUAGCUAGUUGGUGGGGUAACGGCUUACCAAGGCGACGAUACAUAGCCGACCUGAGAGGGUGAUCGGCCACACUGGGACUGAGACACGGCCCAGACUCCUACGGGAGGCAGCAGUAGGGAAUCUUCGGCAAUGGACGGAAGUCUGACCGAGCAACGCCGCGUGAGUGAAGAAGGUUUUCGGAUCGUAAAGCUCUGUUGUAAGAGAAGAACGAGUGUGAGAGUGGAAAGUUCACACUGUGACGGUAUCUUACCAGAAAGGGACGGCUAACUACGUG